Molecule: ribosomal RNA, 492 nt
Filed under: uncultured bacterium
Lineage: Bacteria
Description: partial 16S ribosomal RNA
Rfam family: Bacterial small subunit ribosomal RNA
Source: RNAcentral
AACGAACGCUGGCGGCAUGCUUAACACAUGCAAGUCGAACGGUAACAGGCUUUCUGGUGCUGACGAGUGGCGAACGGGUGAGUAAUGCAUCGGAACGUGCCCAGAGGUGGGGGAAAACGCAGCGAAAUCUGGGCUAAUCCCGCAUGUGAUCUGAGGAUUAAAGCGGGGGACCGGGCAGCUAUGUUUGGCCUGGCGCCUUUGGAGCGGCCGAUGUCAGAUUGGGUAGUUGGUGGGUUUAAGGCCUUCCAAGCCGACGCUCUGUAGCUGGUCUGAGAGGACGACCAGAGACACUGGGACUGAGACACGGCCCAGACUCCUGCGGGAGGCAGCAGUGGGGAAUUUUUGGCGAUGGGGGCAAGCCUGAUCCAAGAAUGCCGCGUGAGGGAAGAAGGCGUUAGGGUUGUAAACCGAUUUUGUACGGAACGAAAAAAAGCUGGCUAAUCCCGGAGGAUGAUGACGGUACCGUAAGAAGAAGCACCGGCUAACUACGUG